GCUUAUAGCUCAGUCAGUAGAGCAUGAGACUCUUAAUCUCAGGGUUGUGAAUUUGAGCCCUAUGUUGGGCA
Podarcis lilfordi (Lilford's wall lizard) is the source of this 71-nucleotide non-coding RNA. The record is from the annotation of a GenBank genome assembly. NCBI's taxonomy places the organism in Eukaryota, Metazoa, Chordata, Lepidosauria, Squamata, Lacertidae.